GUACCUUCAAGCUUUGCUUGGUGUUGGGCGUCUUUUUGUCUUUGGCCUCGCCCAAAGACUCGCCUUAAAACGAUUGGCAGCCGGCCUACUGGUUUCGCAGCGCAGCACAUUUUUGCGCUUGCAAUCAGCAAAAAGGACGGCAAUCCAUCAAGACUACAUUUUUAC
This 165-nucleotide unclassified non-coding RNA is filed under the name uncultured Pleosporaceae. RNAcentral describes it as "sequence contains ITS2". Lineage: Eukaryota; Fungi; Ascomycota; Dothideomycetes; Pleosporales; Pleosporaceae. The record is from RNAcentral.